RNAcentral lists this long non-coding RNA (214 nucleotides) under Elaeis guineensis (African oil palm). RNAcentral's name for it is "long non-coding RNA (EGUI_LNC022939)". Lineage: Eukaryota; Viridiplantae; Streptophyta; Magnoliopsida; Arecales; Arecaceae. The record is from RNAcentral.
ACAUGUAAAAACACUGAGUCACCAUCUUGUCCGAUGACUGAACUGCUCCCUAUACUCGGGUUGUCGGUAAAUGAUCAUUCGAGAUCGUAAUAUUAAUUGCCUCUGCAACAAGAAACAUAGGUGCUAAUAGCUCUGCCAGCAUGAAGCCCAUGGAUCCCACUGGUCGUUGGAGCAUUGUCUUCUGUCCGAUGGCGAUAGAACAAUCACCGCACCG